This 162-nucleotide unclassified non-coding RNA is filed under the name uncultured Xylariales. Its description in RNAcentral is "sequence contains ITS1". Lineage: Eukaryota; Fungi; Ascomycota; Sordariomycetes; Xylariales. The record is from RNAcentral.
CAGAGUUUAUCCAAACUCCCAAACCCAUGUGAACAUUACCUUUUGUUGCCUCGGCAGUGGUGUCUCCUCUCCGUCCGCGGGGAUGGGGGCAGCCUGCCGGUGGACCACACCAAAACUCUUGUUGUUAUAUUGUCAUUCUGAAUUUAAAAACUUAAUCAGUUA